This is a non-coding RNA of Cydia amplana, 70 nucleotides long. The record is from the annotation of a RefSeq genome assembly. NCBI's taxonomy places the organism in Eukaryota, Metazoa, Arthropoda, Insecta, Lepidoptera, Tortricidae.
GGCCGGGUGGUCUAGUGGUCAGGACGUUAGCCGCGAAAGCUGAAGGCGGGUUCGAUUCCCGCCACGGCCA